UAAUUUUGCUGCCACCCACAGGAAAUAAUUAAAGCGGCUAUAUGUAGCUUUUUGUGGAACACCACCAAAUUCACAUAGAAAGGUUUCGCAUACUGAAGAAAUGGAAAUGACAACUGAUCGAAGGAAUUUGUUUUGGAGCAACACAAUGUAUGUUGGAGGCACUAAAUUAAAAUCUCUCUCGGAGCCACCUCUCUUCUCCUCCUCCCCUUCUCACCUGCACUGGUAUCCUCCCCCAGCGGUCUGGCCCCGACAGCUGCUGCAGGCAGGGGUGGAACUAGGACCCCCAGGCAGGGUGGAGGAGGUCACCUCAGGGAUCUGGGCCUCAGCCCCAAUGGGCUUGUGGAUGCAGCACUGGCCCGAGAACUCCCGACAGAUCUUCUCCACUGCCUCCCUCACUACUUGGUCUUUGAACUGGAUGACAAGAGUUUGGGUUACUGGUUAGCUUAAUUUCAUCUAUAAAAUAUACACAUACAACCAUAUACAUUUUAAGGUUAAGUGGUAUGAUUCUAAAUAGUACAUUCAUUGAAGAUAAAACCACAGUAAUUUCCAAAUCAUCUCCUCACCUUCUCCAUGUAAGAUGUAAACCAUGCUGGAGGUGUCUUAUCUUCCUCUUUGGUCCCCUUUAGUUCUUUCAUGAUCACCUUGGAAACCAAAGUAGAAACACAUUGGUGAGGAAUCAGACAAUUAAGCCAUAUUUAUUUUAGGACACACAAUGACUUAGUUUGGUCUUUACUUGUAUUAAAUGAUUACCUAAUGACACAAAAGCUCAUUCAAUUUGAAAGAAUUCGCUUUAUAAAGUAAUAGUGCUGAGCAAUAAGUACUUCGAGGUCGAUUAGAUUAUAAAAACAACAUUAAAUACACUAUGCAUUAUGUGGGUUGAAUGCUGUAACACAGACUAAAGGAAUUCAUAAAAAUCCCAUGAAGGUAGUGACUGCCCAUUACUGCUUAUCAACCAUAAUUUAUUCACUGAAUUUUAAUAAAAUAUUUCAGUUGUUGUGUAUA
Long non-coding RNA from Oncorhynchus nerka (sockeye salmon), 1002 nucleotides. RefSeq lists it as uncharacterized. NCBI's taxonomy places the organism in Eukaryota, Metazoa, Chordata, Actinopteri, Salmoniformes, Salmonidae. The record is from RefSeq and is a predicted model, not a curated record. The transcript has 3 exons.